GAUGAACGCUAGCGGCAGGCUUAAUACAUGCAAGUUGAGGGGCAGCAUGAUAUACGUAAGUAUAUUGAUGGCGACCGGCGGACGGGUGAGUAAAAGGUAGGAGACCUACCUCAUACAGGGGGAUAGCAUAGAGAAAUCUGUGGUAAUACCCCAUGAGGUUAUAUGAAUAGAGGCAUAUAAUCAAAGUAUACGAGAGUAUGCGGUAUGAGAUGGGCCUACUGACCAUUAGCUAGUUGGUGAGGUAAGGGCUCACCAAGGCGAAGAUGGUUAGGGGUUUUGAGAGAGAGAUCCCCCACAUUGGAACUGAGAUACGGUCCAGACUCCUACGGGAGGCAGCAGUAGGGAAUAUUGGGCAAUGGGCGAAAGCCUGACCCAGCCAUGCCGCGUGAAGGAAGACGGCCUUAUGGGUUGUAAACUUCUUUACUAUACGAAUAGAGGUUAGUACGAGUUACUAAUAGGAAGGUAGUAUAGCAAAAAGCACCGGCUAACUCCGUG
Molecule: ribosomal RNA, 495 nt
Filed under: uncultured bacterium
Lineage: Bacteria
Description: bacterial SSU rRNA
Rfam family: Bacterial small subunit ribosomal RNA
Source: RNAcentral